GUGUCAGCAGCCGCGGUAAUACGGAGGGUGCAAGCGUUAUCCGGAUUCACUGGGUUUAAAGGGUGCGUAGGCGGGUUGGUAAGUCAGUGGUGAAAUCCCCGAGCUUAACUUGGGAACUGCCAUUGAUACUAUUAAUCUUGAAUACCGUGGAGGUCGACGGAAUACGUCAUGUAGCGGUGAAAUGCUUAGAUAUGACAUAGAACACCAAUUGCGAAGGCAGUUGACUACGCGAGUAUUGACGCUGAGGCACGAAAGCGUGGGGAUCAAACAGGAUUAGAAACCCUCGUAGUCC
This 292-nucleotide ribosomal RNA is filed under the name uncultured bacterium. RNAcentral describes it as "partial 16S ribosomal RNA". It matches the Rfam family "Bacterial small subunit ribosomal RNA", at positions 505 to 796 of the family's 1533-position model. The record is from RNAcentral.